AGCGCAGGUGGGAAAGUAAGUCAGUCUUAAAAGUUCGGGGCUCAACCCCGUGAUGGGAUUGAAACUACUUUUCUUUGAGUGCAGGAGAGGAAAGCGGAAUUCCUAGUGUAGCGGUGAAAUGCGUAGAUAUUAGGAGGAACACCAGUGGCGAAAGCGGCUUUCUGGACGACAACUGACGCUGAGGCGCGAAAGCCAGGGGAGGCAAACGG
This 209-nucleotide ribosomal RNA is filed under the name uncultured bacterium. RNAcentral's name for it is "partial 16S ribosomal RNA". It matches the Rfam family "Bacterial small subunit ribosomal RNA", at positions 568 to 776 of the family's 1533-position model. The record is from RNAcentral.